UAUUCUUAUAUUCAUCUCCUCUGAGGAGCUAAACCUUAUCUCCAGAGAGGUCUGUUUAUCCAGUCAUAUUCCUUUAGAGGCCCUCAUGUUUUCUCUUCCAAGAGGAGGCUGGGGGCACUCAGGUGUGGCUCAGGUGAUCUGCCGCUGAAUCAGGAAAAAUUGUGCAGUGACGACAGCGACAGCAAAGCCCUGGUCCGCGCCCUUUACAAUCCCUGACAUAGGAGUGAGUCAGGCCUGCUGCCCCACCUGGGUACUGCUGCACUGCUGACCACAGGCCCAGAAUGAGGAAUGGCAGGAAUGGGCACUGGCAGAGGCAGAAUGGGCAGGGGAAAGGGAGACAGACAUUUGGAAAUGGGAGUGUCUGAAAAGGGAAAGCAGGGUGGAGGGACAGUGCCAGGGUCCUGGGGUCAGGGAAUGACAGGUGAAAGCUUCAACUGCUCCUAGUAUUCAGUAGAUCCUCAAUAACUAUUUGUUGACUUGAGACAGGUUUGAGAUAGAAAGGGAACAAGGAAUAGCAAAAAGGACAUGUUGUAAUCUAGUGGCGUUAGAGGAAAUUGGUUUAAGUACCAGCUCUACUACUUAUUAACUAGGAAAUAUUGGGUCAGUUUCUUAAGGUUACUGAAAAUCUGUUUCCUCAAUUGAUAAAUGGGCAAAUUGACCUUUAGGUAACCACAAAGAUUAAGAAUAUAAAUAUACUCCUUCGGGGCACAUAGUAGGUGCCUCUUGCAUUAUUGCAAGCAUUAAUGGGCAUUAUUGUAAUUAAGAGAAGAGGGGCUGCUUUGGAGCUGGGAUGUGCAGGAGUGAGCCAUCCCAGGAGUAGGGGACUGGAAUGAGAAAAUAAUCUCCAAGUGCUAACAUCUCGAGGAGAUAUGAGUUCUUUUUCUCUUUUUACUCCACCUUCCCUCCCUCUGCAGGUUUUGUGGCUCUUCAUUUUCUCCAGAGAAGCAAAGACUUCCGCAUUUCCAGGUCCUGUUCAACUAAUAAGCAGGGUCAGGACCAGGGUCCUCAUGCUGAAUUCAGCUUCAGGGCUGGGUAGAAGACUGGGAUGAAGUUGCUCCUCAUCUCUCUGUCCUGGCUAUGAGCAGGCAACACCUGGGUCAGGAGUGCGAGGUGAGUGGGUGAUGCUACGGGGGUUCAGGUGGAGCAGUCAGACCAUGCUGAGUAACUCCCCUGGAGGGAAGUGGGAAGUGGUGGAGGCAGUUCCUGUAGGCCCAGCUCAGAGGGGAGAAGGGAGCCAAUUAACACCUCCUCCCCAAGUCACAUCCCAGCCCUGGGAAUACUUCAUAGGCUCCGGGGG
Molecule: long non-coding RNA, 1297 nt
Filed under: Callithrix jacchus (white-tufted-ear marmoset)
Lineage: Eukaryota; Metazoa; Chordata; Mammalia; Primates; Cebidae
Description: lncRNA (ENSCJAG00000074772.1)
Source: RNAcentral